GCCCAUCAUCCAGUGGAUUGGGACGUCGGCUUUUCAAGCUGAAAACAGGGGAUUAGAAUCCCCUUGGGGGCA
Molecule: transfer RNA, 72 nt
Filed under: Chloroflexota bacterium
Lineage: Bacteria; Bacillati; Chloroflexota
Description: Chloroflexi bacterium tRNA-Glu
Rfam family: tRNA
About the family: Transfer RNA (tRNA) molecules are approximately 80 nucleotides in length. Their secondary structure includes four short double-helical elements and three loops (D, anti-codon, and T loops).
Source: RNAcentral